RNAcentral lists this unclassified non-coding RNA (240 nucleotides) under uncultured fungus. RNAcentral describes it as "sequence contains 18S rRNA gene, ITS1, 5.8S rRNA gene, ITS2". The record is from RNAcentral. Lineage: Eukaryota; Fungi.
GCUUUUGACCAAUAAAGGUCUCAACAUACAUUCUGAUAACAUGUGUGUGUGAAGGAAAAAUAACAUAGACACAGAUUAUCAACAAUCUGGGCCUACAGUAAGUUCACAGGUGAGUUGAAAAGGCAGAGUGCACAUUGCCCCGAGGGGCCAGCAACAUCCUAAGGAUUUCAAUAAUGAUCCUUCCGCAGGUUCACCUACGGAAACCUUGUUACGACUUUUACUUCCUCUAAAUGACCAAGA